CUGUUUCACAUGUUGUUCCAGCAGCAGAAACGAGCUUCCUCCAGUGAAUUGAAUAAAUUGAAACUCAGACCAACUCAAGCGACAAUCUAAAGGGAAAAGGUUAGAACCCUGGACCUGAGAGAAAGCUCUUUUAGAGGGAGAGAGAGCG
Molecule: long non-coding RNA, 148 nt
Organism: Telopea speciosissima
Lineage: Eukaryota; Viridiplantae; Streptophyta; Magnoliopsida; Proteales; Proteaceae
Exons: 3
Source: RefSeq, a predicted model, not a curated record